CCUACGGGAGGCAGCAGUGGGGAAUAUUGCACAAUGGGGGGAACCCUGAUGCAGCGACGCCGCGUGAGUGAAGAAGUAUCUCGGUAUGUAAAGCUCUAUUAGCAGGGAAGAAGAUGACGGUACCUGACUAAGAAGCCCCGUCUAACUACGUGCCAGCAGCCGCGGUAAUACGUCAGGGGCAAGCGUUAUCCGGAUUUACUGGGUGUAAAGGGAGCGUAGACGGCAGGGCAAGUCCGGAGUGAAAGCCCGGGGCCCAACCCCGGGACUGCUUUUGAAACUGCCAGGCUAGAGUGCUGGAGAGGUAAGCGGAAUUCCUGGUGUAGCGGUGAAAUGCGUAGAUAUUAGGAAGAACACCAGUGGCGAAGGCAGCUUACUGGACAGUAACUGACGUUGAGGCUCGAAAGCGUGGGGAGCAAACAGGAUUAGAUACCCGGGUAGUC
RNAcentral lists this ribosomal RNA (440 nucleotides) under uncultured bacterium. RNAcentral describes it as "partial 16S ribosomal RNA". It matches the Rfam family "Bacterial small subunit ribosomal RNA", at positions 338 to 795 of the family's 1533-position model. The record is from RNAcentral.